Molecule: non-coding RNA, 420 nt
Organism: Microcebus murinus (gray mouse lemur)
Lineage: Eukaryota; Metazoa; Chordata; Mammalia; Primates; Cheirogaleidae
Source: RefSeq, a predicted model, not a curated record
GAGGAUGUUAAGGAUCUGAAAGAGAAUAGAUGAAGUUUUAAAAUAGCUGCUGUGGAUAACAAGAUAACCCAUCAAUCAGGGUUAAAAAUAGUUUAAGGUAGUCUCAAGUAAUGAAAAAAGUAUUUUUAUUUUUUGGUCAGAGAGACCUGCAUAGGGAUUUUGGCCUUACGUAACCAUGUGAUCAUGUGCAAGUAUGAAGAUCAAGCGAAGGAAAGUAGAUAUGUCUGGACUCAGCUGAAAGCUCGUGCUGACCUCAGCUGAUGGGAUUCAUGCAUCUGAAGACAGACUUAGGUGAGAGCCUCCCAGAAAUAAAUGCAGCAGGUUUGUGACUUUGACAGUGUGUCCUUGCCAAUUUGAACCUUCAGAUGGGACACCAGCCCUAACCAACACCUUGAUUACAAACUUGUGAGAACUUCUGAA